This 373-nucleotide long non-coding RNA is filed under the name Homo sapiens (human). RNAcentral describes it as "non-protein coding lnc-MYO6-2:2". The record is from RNAcentral. Lineage: Eukaryota; Metazoa; Chordata; Mammalia; Primates; Hominidae.
CUGAAGUCACAUUUCCAAGUCACAUUUACACAGCUCAAGCUUCCAGUUAUUCUUCUUCCUAGAGUGGACUCAUUUCCAUUUGUCUCUGCAGUGAGUACUUCCAGAACUAUAUAAAAUAUAGGGGUAGAGGCAGCAGCAUCAAGAGCCCUGUGGACAUUCUUUGUUCCAGGAAUCCAUUCCUGACUUUUUCUUGCAGGGGUCCUUGGGGAGGAAACCGCGGCAGGUGGGGAGGCAUAAACCUGAAAGCCCUCCUUGCAUUGUCAGUGGGGAGGCUUAUAGCCUGAGGAAAGGUGUCAGCUCUGCUCACCAGCUGCCUGGAAACAAACUCGGUGCUGUUGAGGGGAGACAUAGUGGGAGUGAGACUGACCUUUUG